This is a long non-coding RNA of Stegodyphus dumicola, 733 nucleotides long. The record is from RefSeq and is a predicted model, not a curated record. NCBI's taxonomy places the organism in Eukaryota, Metazoa, Arthropoda, Arachnida, Araneae, Eresidae.
GUGAAAUUCUCUGGCGAAAACAUCAUUUUCUGGACAAUACAAACAAAGACAAGUCAUUUCAGCGGAAAGUUCAGUACCGUGUUUAUCAUUUGCGGUUAUCAGGUACCACAGACGUAAAAUUUUCCACUUAGACAUCUUCGAUAGGUUACAAGCUGGGCACACAAGAAAUUAGAAAAUGCUUCUUUCACUGAAUUUGCUCAACUUUCAAGAUCACGUUUCUAGCCAGCAGAAAGACUGCACUCUGUCUGUUGAAGCACUCCCAAGUCAUGGUUACAAGCUUCCUUUGCUUCUAUUUUAACUUACACUGUCCUUUUCCUUUUCAUCCAAAGAAUGACAGUAUACGAUAAUUUUAAAAAAACUAUUUUAUUAAGGUUUUUAGGACACUUCAGGAAUAUAAUGUGUAUAUUUCAACAGGAAGUUUUUUAACGUGAAAAUCUUAAACAUCGGAUAUAUUUCCAUCUCCUAACAUCCGGCAUUCAAGAACAAGCAGUCACUCAUUUAUAGUGUCUCUAAAGGACUGUUACAGAGACAGUAUGUAUAACUACAUAGGCUAAAAUUUCGGCCAAUCCCGUUAUAUUGAAGCACUGCAUACGUGAAUGAUACAUAAACCUCCAUCUUCAACAAGUUAAAUGUAAGAACCAUAAGUUGCCUUAAAAUGUACGAGUAGAAUAAUCUGAUAGCAAAAAAAAAAAAAAAAAAAAAAAAAAAAAAAAAAAAAAAAAAAAAAAAAAAA